RNAcentral lists this ribosomal RNA (460 nucleotides) under uncultured bacterium. Its description in RNAcentral is "partial 16S ribosomal RNA". It matches the Rfam family "Bacterial small subunit ribosomal RNA", at positions 338 to 795 of the family's 1533-position model. The record is from RNAcentral.
CCUACGGGAGGCAGCAGUGAGGAAUAUUGGUCAAUGGGCGCGAGCCUGAACCAGCCAAGUCGCGUGAAGGAUGACGGCCCUACGGGUUGUAAACUUCUUUUAUCAAGGAAUAAAGUGAGCCACGUGUGGCUUUUUGUAUGUUACCUAUGAAUAAGGAUCGGCUAACUCCGUGCCAGCAGCCGCGGUAAUACGGAGGAUCCGAGCGUUAUCCGGAUUUAUUGGGUUUAAAGGGAGCGUAGGUGGGUUGUUAAGUCAGUUGUGAAAGUUUGCGGCUCAACCGUAAAAUUGCAGUUGAAACUGGCAGUCUUGAGUACAGUUGAGGUAGGCGGAAUUCGUGGUGUAGCGGUGAAAUGCUUAGAUAUCACGAAGAACUCCGAUUGCGAAGGCAGCUUACUAAACUGCAACUGACACUGAUGCUCGAAAGUGUGGGUAUCAAACAGGAUUAGAUACCCCUGUAGUC